This 898-nucleotide ribosomal RNA is filed under the name uncultured bacterium. RNAcentral describes it as "bacterial SSU rRNA". It matches the Rfam family "Bacterial small subunit ribosomal RNA", at positions 8 to 916 of the family's 1533-position model. The record is from RNAcentral.
AGAGUUUGAUCAUGGCUCAGGACGAACGCUGGCGGCGUGCUUAACACAUGCAAGUCGUACGCUGAAGCCUGCUUCGGUGGGUGGAUGAGUGGCGAACGGGUGAGUAACACGUGGGUAAUCUGUCUUGUACUCUGGGAUAAGCCUGGGAAACUGGGUCUAAUACCGGAUGGGACCAUUCUCCGCAUGGGGGGUGGUGGAAAGCUCCGGCGGUAUGAGUUGAGCCCGCGGCCUAUCAGCUUGUUGGUGGGGUGAUGGCCUACCAAGGCGGUGACGGGUAGCCGGCCUGAGAGGGUGACCGGUCACACUGGGACUGAGACACGGCCCAGACUCCUACGGGAGGCAGCAGUGGGAAUAUUGCACAAUGGGCGCAAGCCUGAUGCAGCGACGCCGCGUGAGGGAUGACGGCCUUCGGGUUGUAAACCUCUUUCGCCAGGGACGAAGGGUGAUACUGACGGUACCUGGAGAAGAAGCACCGGCUAACUACGUGCCAGCAGCCGCGGUAAUACGUAGGGUGCAAGCGUUGUCCGGAAUUAUUGGGCGUAAAGAGCUCGUAGGCGGUGUGUCGCGUCUGCCGUGGAAACCUGCAGCUUAACUGUGGGCGUGCGGUGGAUACGGGCAUCACUUGAGUUCGGCAGGGGAGACUGGAAUUCCUGGUGUAGCGGUGGAAUGCGCAGAUAUCAGGAGGAACACCGGUGGCGAAGGCGGGUCUCUGGGCCGAUACUGACGCUGAGGAGCGAAAGCGUGGGGAGCGAACAGGAUUAGAUACCCUGUAGUCCACGCUGUAAACGUUGGGCGCUAGGUGUGGGGUGCUGUCCACGCAUUCCGUGCCGUAGCUAACGCAUUAAGCGCCCCGCCUGGGGAGUACGGCCGCAAGGCUAAAACUCAAAUGAAUUGACGG